GCCGAUGUGAUGGAAUUGGUAGACGUGCCAGACUCAAAAUCUGGUGAGGGCAACCUCGUGUCGGUUCGACCCCGACCAUCGGCACCA
Molecule: transfer RNA, 87 nt
Filed under: Heliobacteriaceae bacterium
Lineage: Bacteria; Bacillati; Bacillota; Clostridia; Eubacteriales; Heliobacteriaceae
Description: tRNA-Leu
Rfam family: tRNA
About the family: Transfer RNA (tRNA) molecules are approximately 80 nucleotides in length. Their secondary structure includes four short double-helical elements and three loops (D, anti-codon, and T loops). Further hydrogen bonds mediate the characteristic L-shaped molecular structure. tRNAs have two regions of fundamental functional importance: the anti-codon, which is responsible for specific mRNA codon recognition, and the 3' end, to which the tRNAs corresponding amino acid is attached (by aminoacyl-tRNA synthetases). tRNAs cope with the degeneracy of the genetic code in two manners: having more than one tRNA (with a specific anti-codon) for a particular amino acid; and 'wobble' base-pairing, i.e. permitting non-standard base-pairing at the 3rd anti-codon position.
Source: RNAcentral